This is a long non-coding RNA of Esox lucius (northern pike), 733 nucleotides long. RefSeq lists it as uncharacterized. The transcript is spliced from 3 exons. The record is from RefSeq and is a predicted model, not a curated record. Lineage: Eukaryota; Metazoa; Chordata; Actinopteri; Esociformes; Esocidae.
AAACGCAAAUACGUAAGUAACAAAACAACACCGACAACAAGAAUUAUGUUUCUUGAUUUUUUUAUAGUUAAACUUACGGCACCACACGGUCUCAAAACAGGCAAAGACACAAUAACCCGUGAGGUGCUGGUGAAAACCAGGAACCUAAAUAGACAUCAUGAUAACUAACUCAAAACAGGUGUGUUUAGGGCGCUGCUGCCAUCUGCUCCAGCCGGCGGUUUGAACACCGGUGAGGUACGUGUAGCGCUAGAGAAGGAGAGAGCACACAGCGCCACACGGAGCAGGCAUCACCUUAGAAAGAUGAGCAUACCGGACACACCUGCAAGCUCCCGCAAUGCAGGCAUGCCCACAAGGUGUGAGGGGUUGGUCAACUGCAAUGGACACAUCCACGUGUGUCCUUACAACUGUGCAGGGAGGGGGUCUGUUGAAACUGUCAGUGUGAGGACAUUAUCAGGGGUGAUCCUGAAAUAAUGGUCAACAAGACACCCUCUGAGGAGACACCAAGUUAUGUAAGAAGCAUGAUGUUGAAUUGUAUUUGGACUUCAUUCUACCUGCGACCUGUGACCUGGGUAACUGUCAGUUUGAUGCCAUUCUGGGCCAGAGACAUCAUAUCUGUAACAUUUUGACUUGAUGCAGUCUGUACAGCACCACUAGCCAGGAUAACAGGAGAACAAUAUGUAAUAAAUGGUCUUGCAUUUAUAAAAGCUUGUUUUUUUCAACUUUUGUUAAGUGG